Molecule: transfer RNA, 74 nt
Filed under: Candidatus Doudnabacteria bacterium RIFCSPHIGHO2_02_FULL_43_13b
Lineage: Bacteria; Candidatus Doudnaibacteriota
Also listed under: 2 other names
Description: tRNA-Gly
Rfam family: tRNA
About the family: Transfer RNA (tRNA) molecules are approximately 80 nucleotides in length. Their secondary structure includes four short double-helical elements and three loops (D, anti-codon, and T loops).
Source: RNAcentral
GCGAUCGUAGUACAAUGGUAGUAUGCGGCCUUCCCAAGGCUGAGACGUGGGUUCGAUUCCCAUCGGUCGCUCCA